UCCGGUUGAUCCCGCCGGACCUGACUGCUAUCGGAUUGGUACUAAGCCAUGUGAGUCAUUGUAGCAAUACAAGGCAUACGGCUCAGUAACACGUGGUCAAUCUAACCUAUGGACGUGGAUAACCUCGGGAAACUGAGAAUAAUCCGCGAUAGAUCAUUAUGCCUGGAACGGUUUAUGGUCGAAAUGAUUCGUCGCCAUAGGAUGGGACUGCGGCCUAUCAGCUUGUUGGUGAGGUAAUGGCCCACCAAGGCUAUUACAGGUACGGGCUCUGAGAGGAGAAGCCCGGAGAUGGGUACUGAGACACGGACCCAGGCCCUAUGGGGCGCAGCAGGCGAGAAACCUUUGCAAUGUGCGCAAGCACGACAAGGUUAAUCCGAGUGUUUCCUGCUAAAGGAAUCUUUUGUUAGUUCUAAAACCACUGAUGAAUAAGGGGUGGGCAAGUUCUGGUGUCAGCCGCCGCGGUAAAACCAGCACCUCAAGUGGUCAGGAGGAUUAUUGGGCCUAAAGCAUCCGUAGCCGGUUUUGUAAGUUUCCGGUUAAAUCCACUAGCUCAACUAAUGGGCUGCCGGAAAUACUGCAGAACUAGGGAGUGGGAGAGGUAGACGGUACUCGGUAGGAAGGGGUAAAAUCCUUUGAUCUAUUGAUGACCACCUGUGGCGAAGGCGGUCUACCAGAACACGUUCGACGGUGAGGGAUGAAAGCUGGGGGAGCAAACCGGAUUAGAUACCCGGGUAGUCCCAGCUGUAAACGAUGCAGACUCGGUGAUGCACUGGCUUAUGGCCAGUGCAGUGCCGCAGGGAAGCUGUUAAGUUUGCCGCCUGGGAAGUACGUACG
RNAcentral lists this ribosomal RNA (834 nucleotides) under uncultured archaeon. RNAcentral describes it as "bacterial SSU rRNA". It matches the Rfam family "Archaeal small subunit ribosomal RNA", at positions 1 to 843 of the family's 1478-position model. The record is from RNAcentral.